AUGGUGGUUUCCUCUAAGUGGGAUCAGAUCAAAGAUGUGCACUCAAAGAAAGGAAAGGAUGCUACAGCCAUAAUUCUCAACAAGCCGUUCUGGAAGGGUCUGAAUCUUUGCAUCAAGGUGUUCGAGCCGUUGGUGAAGGUCCUCCGGUUGGUUGAUGGUGAUGCACGGUCCUCAAUGGGCUUUGUGUAUGGAGAGAUUGUGAAGGAAAAGAAAGAAAUCAAAGAGGCCUUUGGUAACGUCGAGGCGCGGUACAAAGAUGUGUUAGCUAUAGUUGAAAAGAAAAUUAAAGAUAGGCUUGAUGCCCCACUGCAGUUGACUGCAUAUUUGUUGAAUCCACACUAUAGCUAUGCAGAUGACAGCAUAUUUGAUUCUGUUGACAUCAAUACAGCCUUUUAUUCUUGUGUGGAGACAUUCUAUCAUGGUGAUGAAAACAUGCAAGACCAAGUUGUGAACUAUGAAAUAAGCAAGUUCCAAAGCAGAGAGGGUUCCUCUGCAAAGAAGCUUGCUAGGACUUGCCAAAACUUUGACUACAAUCCUGUGGCUUGGUGGAGAAUGUAUGGAGGUGAGACACCGGGGCUGAAGGACAUGGCUAUGAAGAUCCUUUCUUUGACCUCAAGUUCUUCCGGUUGUGAGAGAAAUUGGAGUUGUUUUGAGUUGAGGAGAAAUAGACUUACAACAGAUCGCCUCAAUCAGCUUGUGUACAUCCAGUUCAACUCAAGGCUGUUAUCCAAGAAAAGAAAGAUCAAGUAGAGGAAGAACAUCGAUGUUCUCCUCACUACUGAUGCAUCUGAAGCACAAGGCUUCUUGUUUGAGGGAGGAGAUGAUCAUGCUUUCAUGGUGUUUCCAGAUGGAGAUGAGGGAGCAGAUGGCAUACCUUGGAGUGUGGUUGGAGAUGCUAUGGGAACCAGUGAACAACUUGAGCUUCGUCGAAGUGCAAGGGUUAGAGAUCUCCAUGAUGAAGAGUUUGAUUCAGACGAAGAAGAAGUAGAGGAGACAGAUUCAGAGGAGGAAGACAUAGAGUACAAGGAUGAUGAAGAUGAAGUGGUGACUGGGCGCACUUAUGUGGAUGUGGACUAA
This 1077-nucleotide ribosomal RNA is filed under the name Triticum aestivum (bread wheat). RNAcentral's name for it is "partial small subunit ribosomal RNA". Lineage: Eukaryota; Viridiplantae; Streptophyta; Magnoliopsida; Poales; Poaceae. The record is from RNAcentral.